UUUAUACUCCCUCCAUCCUAAAUUUUUUGUCUUUGUUUUGUCUAGAUAUGAAUGUAUCUAGUCAUGUGUUAGUAUUUAGAUAUAUUCAUUUCUAGACAAACGUAAGACAAGAGUUUUGGGACGAAGGAAGUACUAA
This is a non-coding RNA of Hordeum vulgare subsp. vulgare (domesticated barley), 136 nucleotides long. Lineage: Eukaryota; Viridiplantae; Streptophyta; Magnoliopsida; Poales; Poaceae. The record is from Rfam.